RNAcentral lists this transfer RNA (66 nucleotides) under Cyrtodactylus mombergi (Indawgyi bent-toed gecko). RNAcentral's name for it is "partial tRNA-Tyr". The record is from RNAcentral. Lineage: Eukaryota; Metazoa; Chordata; Lepidosauria; Squamata; Gekkonidae.
GUAGGGUGGCCGAGCAGGUGGCGGGCCGUAAACCCGCUUACGGGGCCGACUGGCCCCCCCUCCCAA